UUAGGCCCAAAACGACGUCAUAUGGCCUACACUAUAAAUAGAAAUUUUUUAACCCCAAAAAAACAUUUCAACCCUAUUUAAAAAAAAAUCUACCAAACUCUCUCAACUCUCCCUCUGCCCCAUUAGCUCCGGCAGCUGGCGACGGCGCCGUCGUACACGGUGGCCGGUAAAAAAAGAAAAAGGAGCCUUUUGACCACCUUAACGUCCUCUACCCCGAUUUAAGACCAAAUAAACCAAAAAAAAAAAGAAUCCUUCAGAUCUGCCUCCC
Molecule: long non-coding RNA, 268 nt
Filed under: Gossypium raimondii (Peruvian cotton)
Lineage: Eukaryota; Viridiplantae; Streptophyta; Magnoliopsida; Malvales; Malvaceae
Description: long non-coding RNA (GRAI_LNC006572)
Source: RNAcentral